AUUGAACGCUGGCGGCAGGCCUAACACAUGCAAGUCGAACGAGUGGCGGACGGGUGAGUAAUGUCUGGGAAACUGCCUGAUGGAGGGGGAUAACUACUGGAAACGGUAGCUAAUACCGCAUACCAUCAGCUGGGCCCAGAUGGGAGUAGCUGGGUGGUGGGGGAACGGCGUACCAAGGCGACGAUCCCUAGCUGGUCUGAGAGGAUGACCGGCCACAUUGGAACUGAGACGCGGUCAAGACUCCUACGGGAGGCAGCAGUUGGGAAUAUUGCGCAAUGGGCGCAAGCCUUAUGCAGCCAUGCCGCGUGUAUGAAGAAGGCCUUCGGGUUGUAAAGUACUUUCAGCGGGGAGGCGUUACUCGCAGAAGAAGCACCGGCUAACUCCGUGCCAGCAGCCGCGGUAAUAC
RNAcentral lists this ribosomal RNA (406 nucleotides) under uncultured bacterium. RNAcentral describes it as "partial 16S ribosomal RNA". It matches the Rfam family "Bacterial small subunit ribosomal RNA", at positions 30 to 526 of the family's 1533-position model. The record is from RNAcentral.